This 100-nucleotide non-coding RNA is filed under the name Candidatus Hungatella pullicola. Lineage: Bacteria; Bacillati; Bacillota; Clostridia; Lachnospirales; Lachnospiraceae. The record is from RNAcentral.
GAAAACGGGGAGCUUGCACCAAGCAGGCUGAGAGUAAGCUGGAUCGCUUAGACCCAUAACCUGAUUUGGAUAAUGCCAACGUAGGGAUCAUAAGAUGAAU